RNAcentral lists this ribosomal RNA (558 nucleotides) under Bacillus subtilis. RNAcentral's name for it is "bacterial SSU rRNA". It matches the Rfam family "Bacterial small subunit ribosomal RNA", at positions 951 to 1533 of the family's 1533-position model. Lineage: Bacteria; Bacillati; Bacillota; Bacilli; Caryophanales; Bacillaceae. The record is from RNAcentral.
UCCGGUAAUCAAUGUAUUGACGGUUACACCGCACGGUAACUCCUUACCAGUGAUGGUCAUCCUCUGACAAUCCUAGAGAUAGGACGUCCCCUUCGGGGGCAGAGUGACAGGUGGUGCAUGGUUGUCGUCAGCUCGUGUCGUGAGAUGUUGGGUUAAGUCCCGCAACGAGCGCAACCCUUGAUCUUAGUUGCCAGCAUUCAGUUGGGCACUCUAAGGUGACUGCCGGUGACAAACCGGAGGAAGGUGGGGAUGACGUCAAAUCAUCAUGCCCCUUAUGACCUGGGCUACACACGUGCUACAAUGGACAGAACAAAGGGCAGCGAAACCGCGAGGUUAAGCCAAUCCCACAAAUCUGUUCUCAGUUCGGAUCGCAGUCUGCAACUCGACUGCGUGAAGCUGGAAUCGCUAGUAAUCGCGGAUCAGCAUGCCGCGGUGAAUACGUUCCCGGGCCUUGUACACACCGCCCAUAAACUCAAAUGAAUUGACGGUACACUCCGCCCGUACACUCAAAUGAUUGGACGGUACACCUCAGAGCGUACACGCAUAUGCAUUUGGCGG